RNAcentral lists this ribosomal RNA (804 nucleotides) under Triticum aestivum (bread wheat). RNAcentral's name for it is "partial small subunit ribosomal RNA". The record is from RNAcentral. Lineage: Eukaryota; Viridiplantae; Streptophyta; Magnoliopsida; Poales; Poaceae.
AUGCCAGAAGCUAGGGAUGUGACAAUAGAUAUCAAGCUUGAUUGUUCAAACUACAGGGAAUGGGCAUUUUCUGCCCGGACUAUCUUGAGGACGGAUGGUUUUGUUUCUCAUCUGACAGAUGAUCCACCUAGUCCAAAUGAUGAUGCAGCAAGGAAGUCUUGGCAAAAGAUCGAUGAUCGUGUGAUGGGAGUUUUAAUUCUGGGUGUUGAACCCUCACUCCGAAUGAGUCUUGGGCAUCACACUUCAGCUAAAGAGAUAUGGAAGUACUUUGAGCAGCGCUACCUUCAGCCCAACAGUGCACUUCAUUUCUCCUUGUUGCAGAAUUUACACAACACUCGGCAGCCAGAAGACAUGUCCAUAGAAGAGUACUAUGGAGAUUUCACUCGCAUCACUGGACAGCUAGGUUCCAUGGUUCCAAAGGGUAAUUCUGGUUGUGAGUCAUGUGCAGCGAAGGAAAAGUACGACCAUCAGACUCUCAUGUUUCAGUUUGUGAUGGGUCUCAAGCCAGAUUUUGAGAACAUUCGCACUCAAUUGCUUGGUCGUACGACUCCUCCCACCUUGACAGAGGCACUUGCUAGCUUGAUCGUUGAGAAGACUCGUCUCCGUUCUCUUGGGACUACUUCUGCGCAGACUCUACACACUAGUGUUCUGGCUUUUCCUCAGCGGCCAGGUGCCUCCAAGGCCACACCUUCAGCUGUCAUCUGCUCAUUCUGCAAGAAGGCAGGACACCAUAGAGAUGGUUGUUUCAAGCUUCAUCCAGAGUUGUUAGCUAAGUUUCAGGCUAGACGGGCCCUCAAUCAGUAG